AUAGGAGGAGUCGCUAGAACACACGAGAGCCACUUCUUCUUCACCAUACAGACGCCUAGAUAUAUACACAAAAAACAAAAAGCUGCGCCGGAAACACCAAAAGGCUCCCUUGUCAUCAUCUUCUUCAGAGGAGAGAAACAAACGAACCAAACAUCUCCACCAAAAGUUGAAGCCUUCAGUCGUUUGGGCACUCUAAUCUAAAGCGCCGCUGAAUACAAACACAUCCCCUCCCUUUUGAACUUCAUCUUCUCCAGAUUACUUUCAUAACAAAACACCCCUAAAAACCUAGAGCCGUUAGAGACAGGAGGAGGAGCAGCCAUCUUCACCCCAAAAAAUCCUAAGCUCCAUGAACAACCAAUGAAGACCCUAAGAUAUGGGAGCAGCGGUCGAUCUCUCACGCAAAAACAUCAGUCGUUUGGACCUAGGGAGAUCCAAUAACCAAUGAUUCUUCAGCUUCUUCUGGAUCUGGACAUGUAACGCACAGUCGAGACUUUAGCCAUUCAAAAGAAACCAUCUUCAGCACAUUAAAAAAAAACAGCUGAAUCUUUAGCCAUGUAAAGCUCUAGUUCCGACCACUAGAAAUCGUUUUUGUUUUGUUGGCUGAGCUUCGUAGCUUUCUGGCGCUUGUGUAUCAAAAUUAUCGUAGAAUUAAGCUUAAGAUUCAUGGAGACGUAGCUGACUGAGGUUUGCUCCCAUUCAAGGUAAUCGUUUCGAGGUUGUCCGAGGUUUUUUUUCGGGCAGAUUCACAGUUCCAUCGGGUUUAUCACUGUCCAAAAUUCUCGGAGUUAGACAUUUUCAGAUUCGAAAAUUACUUUGUGUUAAGGUUUAGUUUUAUCCCUUCAUUGCUCUUACUGUUUCUUACCAUUCUAAAUUGAUAAAUUAUUCUUUGAUUUGAAAACAGGAAACAAGUGCAAUCCAAAACAAUCAUGCAAAAACAAGUGCAAUAAAAGCAA
This 953-nucleotide long non-coding RNA is filed under the name Nicotiana benthamiana. RNAcentral describes it as "long non-coding RNA (NBEN_LNC009629)". Lineage: Eukaryota; Viridiplantae; Streptophyta; Magnoliopsida; Solanales; Solanaceae. The record is from RNAcentral.